This 328-nucleotide long non-coding RNA is filed under the name Brassica napus (rape). Its description in RNAcentral is "long non-coding RNA (BNAP_LNC024865)". Lineage: Eukaryota; Viridiplantae; Streptophyta; Magnoliopsida; Brassicales; Brassicaceae. The record is from RNAcentral.
CUCAGAUUUUCUUUUAGCUACUCUGUUUCUUUUGUAGAAGAAGCAGACAUUUCUGGUGCUUCUGGUUCCAAGGAGAUUUUCUAGGGUUUGUGAUUUCUGAUCUUUGUUUCCAGAGCAACCCGAGCUUGAAGAUGGUUUUGACGAUGAGAUUAAGGAAAUCGUUGUGAAGUUUAAUUUCAGGUAACCUGUUGCUUCUGAGCUAAGACUCUUUUCUUUUGGCUCUUGUGUUGAAGAUGGCUUAAAAAAUCGAGUGUUGACCCUCUAAGCAUGAACACAGUCUCAGGCUUAUGAUGUUUGUAUCUGAGUGGAAUUUGGAUUUGUUUGCAAG